GGAGAUAUGGCAGAGCGGUAAUGCAACGGACUCGAAAUCCGUCGAACCCGUGUUGAGCGGGUGCGCAGGUUCAAAUCCUGUUAUCUCCU
This 89-nucleotide transfer RNA is filed under the name Periweissella cryptocerci. It matches the Rfam family "tRNA". Rfam says of the family: Transfer RNA (tRNA) molecules are approximately 80 nucleotides in length. Lineage: Bacteria; Bacillati; Bacillota; Bacilli; Lactobacillales; Lactobacillaceae. The record is from Rfam by way of RNAcentral.